RNAcentral lists this ribosomal RNA (254 nucleotides) under uncultured bacterium. Its description in RNAcentral is "partial 16S ribosomal RNA". It matches the Rfam family "Bacterial small subunit ribosomal RNA", at positions 524 to 777 of the family's 1533-position model. The record is from RNAcentral.
UACGGAGGGAGCUAGCGUUGUUCGGAAUUACUGGGCGUAAAGCGCACGUAGGCGGCUUUGUAAGUUAGAGGUGAAAGCCUGGGGCUCAACCCCAGAAUUGCCUUUAAGACUGCAUCGCUUGAAUCCAGGAGAGGUGAGUGGAAUUCCGAGUGUAGAGGUGAAAUUCGUAGAUAUUCGGAAGAACACCAGUGGCGAAGGCGGCUCACUGGACUGGUAUUGACGCUGAGGUGCGAAAGCGUGGGGAGCAAACAGGG